GAUGAACGCUAGCGGGAGGCCUAACACAUGCAAGCCGAGCGGUAGAGUUUCUUCGGAAACUUGAGAGCGGCGCACGGGUGCGUAACACGUGUGCAACCUACCUUUAUCUGGGGGAUAGCCUUUCGAAAGGAGGAUUAAUACCCCAUAAUAUAAUGAUUGGCAUCAAUUAUUAUUGAAAACUCCGGUGGAUAGAGAUGGGCACGCGCAAGAUUAGAUAGUUGGUGAGGUAACGGCUCACCAAGUCAAUGAUCUUUAGGGGUCCUGAGAGGGAGAUCCCCCACACUGGUACUGAGACACGGACCAGACUCCUACGGGAGGCAGCAGUGAGGAAUAUUGAACAAUGGGUGAGAGCCUGAUCCAGCCAUCCCGCGUGAAGGAUGACGGUCCUAUGGAUUGUAAACUUCUUUUGUAUAGGGAUAAACCUACCCUCGUGAGGGUAGCUGAAGGUACUGUACGAAUAAGCACCGGCUAACUCCGUG
This 479-nucleotide ribosomal RNA is filed under the name uncultured bacterium. RNAcentral's name for it is "partial 16S ribosomal RNA". It matches the Rfam family "Bacterial small subunit ribosomal RNA", at positions 28 to 507 of the family's 1533-position model. The record is from RNAcentral.